RNAcentral lists this ribosomal RNA (431 nucleotides) under uncultured bacterium. RNAcentral describes it as "bacterial SSU rRNA". It matches the Rfam family "Bacterial small subunit ribosomal RNA", at positions 30 to 507 of the family's 1533-position model. The record is from RNAcentral.
AUUGAACGCUGGCGGCAGGCCUAACACAUGCAAGUCGAGCGCCCCGCAAGGGGAGCGGCGGACGGGUGAGUAACGCGUGGGAACGUGCCUCUUGCUACGGAAUAGCCUCGGGAAACCGGGAGUAAUACCGUAUGUGCCCUACGGGGGAAAGAUUUAUCGGCAAGAGAUCGGCCCGCGUUGGAUUAGGUAGUUGGUGGGGUAAUGGCCUACCAAGCCGACGAUCCAUAGCUGGUUUGAGAGGAUGAUCAGCCACACUGGGACUGAGACACGGCCCAGACUCCUACGGGAGGCAGCAGUGGGGAAUCUUAGACAAUGGGCGCAAGCCUGAUCUAGCCAUGCCGCGUGAGCGAUGAAGGCCUUAGGGUUGUAAAGCUCUUUCAGUGGGGAAGAUAAUGACUGUACCCACAGAAGAAGCCCCGGCUAACUCCGUG